Molecule: long non-coding RNA, 457 nt
Organism: Peromyscus eremicus (cactus mouse)
Lineage: Eukaryota; Metazoa; Chordata; Mammalia; Rodentia; Cricetidae
Exons: 3
Source: RefSeq, a predicted model, not a curated record
GCCUGAGGCUGAAAUCAACAUUUGCCUCUGGCAGGGAAAUGAACUUGUUAGUUUCCGUGUGCUUCAGACCCUCGGCCCAAAGGAGUCAGGGGUUGCAGUAGCAAUUUGGCUUUGUGUAUCGAGAACCUCACGGCUAUAAAGGACCUCCGGUCUUGCUCCCAGCCCAAGGACUCCAAAUCCAUCACGUGGCAGCGUGGAGCCCGCCUCCUGAUGACGUCACAGCACUCGCAGCAGACGUGCUGAAGAAAGGAUGCUCUAGGAUGCUGUCCAGGUGGACCACCAGGCUGCAAGAUGCGGCACUGCAGGAGUAACUAGCAUGGUCAGUGCAGGAGCCAUGAGUGCCUCUGGGAACCUAAUGGACUUCCUUGAUGAGCCCUUCCCUGAUGUAGGGACCUAUGAGGACUUCCACACCAUAGACUGGCUGAGGGAAAAGUCCCGGGACACUGACAGACACAGA